GCCAGGCGUGGUGGUGCAUGCCUGUAAUCCCAGCUACUUGGGAGGCUGAGGCAGGAGAAUCGCUUGAACCCGGGAGGCAGAGGUUGCAGUGAGCCAAGAUCACGCCACUGCACUCCAGCCUGGGCAACAGAGCAAGACUCUGUCUCAA
This 148-nucleotide non-coding RNA is filed under the name Gorilla gorilla gorilla (western lowland gorilla). Lineage: Eukaryota; Metazoa; Chordata; Mammalia; Primates; Hominidae. The record is from Rfam by way of RNAcentral.